GACGAACGCUGGCGGCGUGCCUAAUACAUGCAAGUCGAACGCUUCUUUUUCCACCGGAGCUUGCUCCACCGGAAAAAGAGGAGUGGCGAACGGGUGAGUAACACGUGGGUAACCUGCCCAUCAGAAGGGGAUAACACUUGGAAACAGGUGCUAAUACCGUAUAACAAUCAAAACCGCAUGGUUUUGAUUUGAAAGGCGCUUUCGGGAGUCGCUGAUGGAUGGACCCGCGGUGCAUUAGCUAGUUGGUGAGGUAACGGCUCACCAAGGCCACGAUGCAUAGCCGACCUGAGAGGGUGAUCGGCCACAUUGGGACUGAGACACGGCCCAGACUCCUACGGGAGGCAGCAGUAGGGAAUCUUCGGCAAUGGGCGAAAGCCUGACCGAGCAACGCCGCGUGAAUGAUGAAGGCCUUCGGGUUGUAAAAUUCUGUUAUAAGGGAAGAACGACUUUAGUAGGAAAUGGCUAGAGUGUGACGGUACCUUAUGAGAAAGCCACGGCUAACUACGUGCCAGCCGCCGCAGUAA
RNAcentral lists this ribosomal RNA (524 nucleotides) under uncultured bacterium. RNAcentral's name for it is "partial 16S ribosomal RNA". It matches the Rfam family "Bacterial small subunit ribosomal RNA", at positions 28 to 523 of the family's 1533-position model. The record is from RNAcentral.